This 95-nucleotide microRNA precursor is filed under the name Mus musculus (house mouse). Its description in RNAcentral is "mir-490 microRNA precursor family". It matches the Rfam family "mir-490 microRNA precursor family". Lineage: Eukaryota; Metazoa; Chordata; Mammalia; Rodentia; Muridae. The record is from Rfam by way of RNAcentral. RNAcentral also lists the same sequence under 1 other name.
UGGAAAGUUCAUUGUUCGACACCAUGGAUCUCCAGGUGGGUCACGUUUAGAUAUACACCAACCUGGAGGACUCCAUGCUGUUGAGCUGUUCACAA